AAAGAAGAAACAGCUGAAUCAAUCUAUAGGAAAAACUAUUAUGCAGUUGAAGAUAAAGAAGCUGAUGUUUUUGCCUAGAGUUUUAGAGCUUCGUUGAGAAAAUUGAAGAUCUCAGACUUCAGCUUGCGGUAGAUAAAUUGCUAACUCGAAAGCAAUCUAAGCAAUUGAGCGUAGAUAAACUGAAAUAAUUGGGUUGAGGUCAAUGUGAAACGAUUG
This 216-nucleotide unclassified non-coding RNA is filed under the name Hevea brasiliensis (rubber tree). The record is from RNAcentral. Lineage: Eukaryota; Viridiplantae; Streptophyta; Magnoliopsida; Malpighiales; Euphorbiaceae.